This 552-nucleotide ribosomal RNA is filed under the name uncultured bacterium. RNAcentral's name for it is "bacterial SSU rRNA". It matches the Rfam family "Bacterial small subunit ribosomal RNA", at positions 57 to 655 of the family's 1533-position model. The record is from RNAcentral.
GCAGUCGAACGAAGUAGCAAUACUUAGUGGCAGACGGGUGAGUAACAUGUGGGUAUCUACCCUUUGGCCUGGAAUAACACGAGGAAACUUGUGCUAAUACCGGAUAAGUCUUUACGGAGAAAGCUUUAUGCACCAUUGGAUGAGCCCGCACUUGAUUAGUUUGUUGGUAGGGUAAUGGCCUACCAAGACUAUGAUCAAUAGCUGAUUUGAGAGGAUGAUCAGCCACAUUGGGACUGAGACACGGCCCAAACUCCUACGGGAGGCAGCAGUGGGGAAUCUUGCACAAUGGAGGAAACUCUGAUGCAGCGAUGCCGCGUGAGUGAAGAAGGCCUUUGGGUUGUAAAGCUCUUUCGUCGGGGAAGAAAAUGACUGUACCCGAAUAAGAAGGUCCGGCUAACUUCGUGCCAGCAGCCGCGGCAAUACGAAGGGACCUAGCGUAGUUCGGAAUUACUGGGCUUAAAGAGUUCGUAGGUGGUUGAGAAAGUUGGUGGUGAAAUCCCAGAGCUUAACUCUGGAACUGCCAUCAAAACUUUUCAGCUAGGGUAUGAUAGA